UAGUUUUGUCUAUGUUUAAGCGGCUUUGUUUGUAAAAAGUUCAAAGUGUUCUUAAUUUUUUGGAAAUAUGGAUUAUUGAUAGUUGAAGUUACAGCAGAGAGAGAGAGAGUUUGACAGUAUGCGUGUUUGAAGAAGAUAAUGCUUUUAUUGGUACAUUCAAUUCCACAAACUGAGUGUUGAUUUCCUCGAUUUCAUUGACUCCAUGAUUCAUUCUUUGAUUUCUAAUGAUCAAUCAACUUAUUGAUUUACUGAAUGAUUGGACAUGUCAUGGAGCUUAAUAUAGAUGGAGAAGUAACUUAGACGUCAUACAGUUAAAUUCAGUAUUAUUGGGGUUGUUCUAGUGCAAGUUAUCAUGUGUUUCGGGAUUUUCCAAGAUUUGAUGCAUCCUGGGUAAUAGUAGCAAAAAUACCGCCAUAUUCAAUUCCAAGAGGAACAUUGACAAAAAAAGACGAAGCAUUUUCUACUUACAUAAGAAGCAAUACUUAUUUAUGUUAAAACGUACCAUACACACUUUUCCACACAGAUAUUUUUUUUAACUUGAAAAAUAUUAUUUUUACUAUGACUUUUUUAGUUUCAAAGGCAUCUACCUCUUACUUCAAAUACAUAUUCCUUAUCAUCAAUUACAUCUUAUGUGACUAGGUUCAUAAUUUACUCUUAAAGCAAUAUUUCCAGGUUAAUAUCCCUUUGAACUUUUUUUUAAAGAAAUAUUAUAAGUAAUUUAAUUUACAUUUAAGCUCACCUGAGCAAUGCUCAGGGUGAGCUAUUGUGAUGGCCCUGUGUCCGUCGUCGUGCGUCGUCAACUUUUAACAUAAACAACAUCUCCUCUGAAACCAAUGACUGCACAUCGACCAAACUUUACAGAAAUGAUCCUUGUGUGGGCCCCUUUCAAAGUUGUUCAAAUGGUUCCGGUCUGUUGCAUAUGUAGGUCAUAGGGCCAGAAAAGGAUUUAAAAAAACACAAAAUUAAAAAAUCUUCUGGUCUGAAAGUACAUGGGCCAGAGCUUUGAUUUUUGGUAUAUGGUAUCAUUAUGGGUCCUCUACCAAAGUUGUUCAAAUUUUGUCCCUAGUGUCAAAAUUGGCCCCGCCCUGGGGGUCAUAGGUUUUUCCUUAUAUGUAUAUAGUAAAAUCUAAAAAAAUCUUCUUCUCUGAUUUGGCAAAGGCUACAGAUUAGAUAUUUGGCAUGAAACAUUGUGUAGUAGACCUCUAUCAAGAUUGUUCAAAUAAUGGCCGGGGGUCAUUGAUUCUUCAUUACAUACAUAUAGUGAAAACUUGAAAAAUCUUCUGGUCUGAAAGUAAAUGGCCUAGAGCUUUGAUAUUUGGUCUAUGGUAUCACCUAUAGGUCCAAAACCAAACUUGUUCUAAUUUUGUUCCUAGAAUUAAAAUCGGCCCCGGGGGUCAUUGAUUUUCCCUAUAUGUAUAUAGUGAAAACUUAAAAAAUCUUCUUUUAAAGAACCCAAAGAGCUAGAGCUAAGAUAUUUAGCAUGAAACAUCUUCUAAUGGUUGUCUACCAAGUUUGUUCAAAUAAAAGCCCUGUGGUCAAAAUUGGCCCCCGCCCCAGGGGGUCAUUGAUUUUCCCUAUAUGCACAUAG
Molecule: long non-coding RNA, 1588 nt
Organism: Ruditapes philippinarum (Manila clam)
Lineage: Eukaryota; Metazoa; Mollusca; Bivalvia; Venerida; Veneridae
Exons: 3
Source: RefSeq, a predicted model, not a curated record